Molecule: unclassified non-coding RNA, 235 nt
Filed under: Hevea brasiliensis (rubber tree)
Lineage: Eukaryota; Viridiplantae; Streptophyta; Magnoliopsida; Malpighiales; Euphorbiaceae
Source: RNAcentral
CCUUUAGGCAAUGAGAAUGAACAGUUGUCUGCAGACAGUUUAUUCCAGCAAUGGCGACCUCUUUACUACCAUUUAAAAUACUAUUCUUCACAAAGAGAAGCAAAGAUUCCCAUCCUGACCAGAAAUUGCUUAAGCUACUGAGAAAGGGAAAGAAAGAACGCAAUAGACGUGCUAUUCCACCAAGGACCAGUACCAGUGUUUCAUCCCACUGUUUCUGAACUGUAUUACGACUAUG